RNAcentral lists this ribosomal RNA (253 nucleotides) under uncultured bacterium. RNAcentral's name for it is "partial 16S ribosomal RNA". It matches the Rfam family "Bacterial small subunit ribosomal RNA", at positions 524 to 776 of the family's 1533-position model. The record is from RNAcentral.
UACGAAGGGGGCUAGCGUUGUUCGGAUUUACUGGGCGUAAAGCGCACGUAGGCGGAUCGAUCAGUCAGGGGUGAAAUCCCAGAGCUCAACUCUGGAACUGCCUUUGAUACUGUCGAUCUGGAGUAUGGAAGAGGUGAGUGGAAUUCCGAGUGUAGAGGUGAAAUUCGUAGAUAUUCGGAAGAACACCAGUGGCGAAGGCGGCUCACUGGCCCGGUACUGACGCUCAUGUGCGAAAGCGUGGGGAGCAAACAGG